UACGGAGGUGGCAGGCGUUACUCGGAUUGAUUGGGUGUAAAGGGCGUGUAGGUGGUGGAUUAAGUCGAAUGUGAAAUCCCUUGGCUCAACCAAGGAACUGCAUUCGAUACUGAUUUGCUUGAGUGACAGAGAGGUAAGUGGAAUUCCCGGUGUAACAGUGAAAUGUGUAGAUAUCGGGAGGAACACCAGUGGCGAAGGCGACUUACUGGCUGUCUACUGACACUGAAACGCGAGAGUUAGGGGAG
RNAcentral lists this ribosomal RNA (245 nucleotides) under uncultured bacterium. RNAcentral's name for it is "partial 16S ribosomal RNA". It matches the Rfam family "Bacterial small subunit ribosomal RNA", at positions 524 to 768 of the family's 1533-position model. The record is from RNAcentral.